GACCCGGUGGCGAAGUGGUUUCGCAUCCGCUUAUCUUGAAUGAAGAAAUUUUACCGUUUUCGUGGAAGACCCCGUUCGAUUCGGGUCUGGGUCA
Molecule: non-coding RNA, 94 nt
Organism: Mycena latifolia
Lineage: Eukaryota; Fungi; Basidiomycota; Agaricomycetes; Agaricales; Mycenaceae
Source: the annotation of a GenBank genome assembly